Non-coding RNA from Pelobates cultripes (western spadefoot toad), 744 nucleotides. The record is from the annotation of a GenBank genome assembly. Lineage: Eukaryota; Metazoa; Chordata; Amphibia; Anura; Pelobatidae.
CAUGAGCAGAGCAUGCAGCCAGCAGCCCCCUCUCACUGCCUGUGCUCUAUCACAGCUCACAUCUGCAGCCCUGCUUAAACAAGGAUAAUGGAACAUUAGUUUUGGAUCCCUCACAGGCUGUAGCAAGCAGAACUCUUUAAUAGCUGAGGGGGCAGAAAAAAAGAGGAAAGUGCUUGUUCUUGCUGUUUUCAGAAGAACUAUAGCCCAUUGUCUCCUGCCCAGGUGACAAUGUUGCGCUUGGCUUGUCUUUGUUGCUGCCUUUCCACGAUUUGCAGCUGGACAAGCUUUCAACACCAGGUCCCAGCCUACAAGAGCUCCCCCUCGCAAGUUUUCCAGCUUGUAGCAGAAUGGGGGAAGCAGCCCCAGGAGCCCACAGAUAGCUCUGAGAACAGGGUGGAGAAGAUGGGACAGUAUUUCAAAAAGAAUAUCAGGAGACUGAGGGAGAAGAGUCAGAACCUGGAUCUUGUCUUCCUAGUGGAUGAGUCUACAAGCGUGGGCCACGCAAACUUCGUCAAUGAGCUGAGGUUCGUAAAGAAGCUGCUCUCUGACUUCCCCGUGGUACCUUCUGCCACCAGAGUGGCCAUUGUCACCUACGCAUCUAAACACAGCGUGCAGACCAGGGUAGAUUACAUCUCAUCCAACCAGUCCCAUCAGCACAAGUGCUCCUUGCUCAAUAGAGAGAUACCUGCCAUCACCUAUAAAGGAGGAGGGACCUACACCAAGGGAGCUUUCCAGCAGGCAGCG